RNAcentral lists this ribosomal RNA (572 nucleotides) under Janthinobacterium sp. RNAcentral describes it as "bacterial SSU rRNA". It matches the Rfam family "Bacterial small subunit ribosomal RNA", at positions 154 to 721 of the family's 1533-position model. Lineage: Bacteria; Pseudomonadati; Pseudomonadota; Betaproteobacteria; Burkholderiales; Oxalobacteraceae. The record is from RNAcentral.
AAAGUUACGCUAAUACCGCAUACGAUCUAAGGAUGAAAGUGGGGGAUCGCAAGACCUCAUGCUCGUGGAGCGGCCGAUAUCUGAUUAGCUAGUUGGUAGGGUAAAAGCCUACCAAGGCAUCGAUCAGUAGCUGGUCUGAGAGGACGACCAGCCACACUGGAACUGAGACACGGUCCAGACUCCUACGGGAGGCAGCAGUGGGGAAUUUUGGACAAUGGGCGAAAGCCUGAUCCAGCAAUGCCGCGUGAGUGAAGAAGGCCUUCGGGUUGUAAAGCUCUUUUGUCAGGGAAGAAACGGUGAGAGCUAAUAUCUUUUGCUAAUGACGGUACCUGAAGAAUAAGCACCGGCUAACUACGUGCCAGCAGCCGCGGUAAUACGUAGGGUGCAAGCGUUAAUCGGAAUUACUGGGCGUAAAGCGUGCGCAGGCGGUUUUGUAAGUCUGAUGUGAAAUCCCCGGGCUCAACCUGGGAAUUGCAUUGGAGACUGCAAGGCUAGAAUCUGGCAGAGGGGGGUAGAAUUCCACGUGUAGCAGUGAAAUGCGUAGAUAUGUGGAGGAACACCGAUGGCGAAGG